CCUACGGGGGGCUGCAGUGGGGAAUAUUGGACAAUGGGCGAAAGCCUGAUCCAGCCAUGCCGCGUGUGUGAAGAAGGCCUUCGGGUUGUAAAGCACUUUCAGUGGGGAAGAAAGCCUUGGGGCUAAUACCCUCGAGGAAGGACAUCACCCACAGAAGAAGCACCGGCUAACUCCGUGCCAGCAGCCGCGGUAAUACGGAGGGUGCGAGCGUUAAUCGGAAUUACUGGGCGUAAAGCGCGCGUAGGCGGUCUGAUAAGCCGGUUGUGAAAGCCCCGGGCUCAACCUGGGAACGGCAUCCGGAACUGUCAGGCUAGAGUGCAGGAGAGGAAGGUAGAAUUCCCGGUGUAGCGGUGAAAUGCGUAGAGAUCGGGAGGAAUACCAGUGGCGAAGGCGGCCUUCUGGACUGACACUGACGCUGAGGUGCGAAAGCGUGGGUAGCAAACAGGAUUAGAUACCCGAGUAGC
RNAcentral lists this ribosomal RNA (464 nucleotides) under Vreelandella stevensii. RNAcentral describes it as "partial 16S ribosomal RNA". It matches the Rfam family "Bacterial small subunit ribosomal RNA", at positions 338 to 794 of the family's 1533-position model. The record is from RNAcentral. Lineage: Bacteria; Pseudomonadati; Pseudomonadota; Gammaproteobacteria; Oceanospirillales; Halomonadaceae.